AUGGAGCCGACCUUGAAAUACCACCCUUUAAUGUUUGAUGUUCUAACGUUGGCCCGUAAUCCGGGUUGCGGACAGUGUCUGGUGGGUAGUUUGACUGGGGCGGUCUCCUCCUAAAGAGUAACGGAGGAGCACGAAGGUUGGCUAAUCCUGGUCGGACAUCAGGAGGUUAGUGCAAUGGCAUAAGCCAGCUUGACUGCGAGCGUGACGGCGCGAGCAGGUGCGAAAGCAGGUCAUAGUGAUCCGGUGGUUCUGAAUGGAAGGGCCAUCGCUCAACGGAUAAAAGGUACUCCGGGGAUAACAGGCUGAUACCGCCCAAGAGUUCAUAUCGACGGCGGUGUUUGGCACCUCGAUGUCGGCUCAUCACAUCCUGGGGCUGAAGUAGGUCCCAAGGGUAUGGCUGUUCGCCAUUUAAAGUGGUACGCGAGCUGGGUUUAGAACGUCGUGAGACAGUUCGGUCCCUAUCUGCCGUGGGCGCUGGAGAACUGAGGGGGGCUGCUCCUAGUACGAGAGGACCGGAGUGGACGCAUCACUGGUGUUCGGGUUGUCAUGCCAAUGGCACUGCCCGGUAGCUAAAUGCGGAAGAGAUAAGUGCUGAAAGCAUCUAAGCACGAAACUUGCCCCGAGAUGAGUUCUCCCUGAGACUUAGAGUCUCCUGAAGGAACGUUGAAGACGACGACGUUGAUAGGCCGGGUGUGUAAGCGCAGCGAUGCGUUGAGCUAACCGGUACUAAUGAACCGUGAGG
RNAcentral lists this ribosomal RNA (742 nucleotides) under Escherichia coli. Its description in RNAcentral is "partial 23S ribosomal RNA". It matches the Rfam family "Bacterial large subunit ribosomal RNA", at positions 2180 to 2916 of the family's 2925-position model. Lineage: Bacteria; Pseudomonadati; Pseudomonadota; Gammaproteobacteria; Enterobacterales; Enterobacteriaceae. The record is from RNAcentral.